UGGGGAAUUUUGGGCAAUGGGCGAAAGCCUGACCCAGCAACGCCGCGUGAAGGAUGAAGUAUUUCGGUAUGUAAACUUCGAAAGAAUAGGAAGAAUAAAUGACGGUACUAUUUAUAAGGUCCGGCUAACUACGUGCCAGCAGCCGCGGUAAUACGUAGGGACCAAGCGUUGUUCGGAUUUACUGGGCGUAAAGGGCGCGUAGGCGGCAAUUCAAGUCAUCUGUGAAAUCUCCGGGCUUAACUCGGAACGGUCAGAUGAUACUGCUUUGCUAGAGUGCAGAAGGGGCAAUCGGAAUUCUUGGUGUAGCGGUGAAAUGCGUAGAUAUCAAGAGGAACACCUGAGGUGAAGACGGGUUGCUGGGCUGAUACUGACACUGAGGUGCGAAAGCGUGGGGAGCAAACAGGAUUAGAUACCCCAGUAGUCCCUGAGCGGGCUGGCAAGGCGCAU
RNAcentral lists this ribosomal RNA (447 nucleotides) under uncultured bacterium. RNAcentral describes it as "bacterial SSU rRNA". It matches the Rfam family "Bacterial small subunit ribosomal RNA", at positions 355 to 825 of the family's 1533-position model. The record is from RNAcentral.